GAUGAACGCUGGCGGCGUGCCUAAUACAUGCAAGUCGAGCGAACAGACGAGGAGCUUGCUCCUCUGACGUUAGCGGCGGACGGGUGAGUAACACGUGGAUAACCUACCUAUAAGACUGGGAUAACUUCGGGAAACCGGAGCUAAUACCGGAUAAUAUAUUGAACCGCAUGGUUCAAUAGUGAAAGACGGUUUUGCUGUUACUUAUAGAUGGAUCCGCGCCGCAUUAGCUAGUUGGUAAGGUAACGGCUUACCAAGGCAACGCUGCGUAGCCGACCUGAGAGGGUGAUCGGCCACCCUGGAACUGAGACACGGUCCAGACUCCUACGGGAGGCAGCAGUAGGGAAUCUUCCGCAAUGGUCGAAAGCUUGACGGAGCAACGCCGCGUGAGUGAUGAAGGUCUUCGGAUCGUAAAACUCUGUUAUUAGGGAAGAACAAAUGUGUAAGUAACUAUGCACGUCUUGACGGUACCUAAUCAGAAAGCCACGGCUAACUACGUG
This 497-nucleotide ribosomal RNA is filed under the name uncultured bacterium. Its description in RNAcentral is "partial 16S ribosomal RNA". It matches the Rfam family "Bacterial small subunit ribosomal RNA", at positions 28 to 507 of the family's 1533-position model. The record is from RNAcentral.